AGAGUUUGAUCCUGGCUCAGGACGAACGCUGGCGGCGUGCCUAAUACAUGCAAGUCGAACGGUCUUUUCUAUGGAAGCUUGCUUCCACUGAGAAGAUAGUGGCGAACGGGUGAGUAACACGUGGGUAACCUGCCCAUAAGAGGGGGAUAACAUCCGGAAACGGGUGCUAAUACCGCAUAGUUUUCUUGGUCGCAUGAUCGAGAAAGGAAAGACGGCCUUUGUGCUGUCGCUUAUGGAUGGACCCGCGGCGUAUUAGUUAGUUGGUGAGGUAAUGGCUCACCAAGACGAUGAUACGUAGCCGACCUGAGAGGGUGAUCGGCCACAUUGGGACUGAGACACGGCCCAAACUCCUACGGGAGGCAGCAGUAGGGAAUCUUCCGCAAUGGACGAAAGUCUGACGGAGCAACGCCGCGUGAGUGAAGAAGGUUUUCGGAUCGUAAAACUCUGUUGUCAGAGAAGAACAAGUCGGAGAGUAACUGCUCCGGCCUUGACGGUAUCUGACCAGAAAGCCACGGCUAACUACGUGCCAGCAGCCGCGGUAAUACGUAGGUGGCAAGCGUUGUCCGGAUUUAUUGGGCGUAAAGCGAGCGCAGGCGGUYCYUUAAGUCUGAUGUGAAAGCCCACGGCUCAACCGUGGAAGGUCAUUGGAAACUGGGGAACUUGAGUGCAGAAGAAGAGAGUGGAAUUCCAUGUGUAGCGGUGAAUGCGUAGAUAUAUGGAGGAACACCAGUGGCGAAGCGACUCUCUGGUCUGUACUGA
This 759-nucleotide ribosomal RNA is filed under the name uncultured Trichococcus sp. Its description in RNAcentral is "bacterial SSU rRNA". It matches the Rfam family "Bacterial small subunit ribosomal RNA", at positions 8 to 743 of the family's 1533-position model. Lineage: Bacteria; Bacillati; Bacillota; Bacilli; Lactobacillales; Carnobacteriaceae. The record is from RNAcentral.